AUUGAACGCUGGCGGCACGCCUAACACAUGCAAGUCGAGCGGCAGCGCGAUCAGUAGCAAUACUGAUUGGCGGCGAGCGGCGGACGGGUGAGUAACACGUAGGAACCUGCCCAGAAGUGGGGGAUAACUAAUGGAAACGUUAGCUAAUACCGCAUACCUUCGGGAGAAGAAAGCUGCAGCAAUGUGGCGCUUUUGGAGGGGCCUGCGUACGAUUAGCUAGUUGGUGAGGUAAUGGCUCACCAAAGCGAUGAUCGUUAACUGGUCUGAGAGGAUGAUCCGCCACACUGGGACUGAGACACGGCCCAGACUCCUACGGGAGGCAGCAGUGGGGAAUAUUGGACAAUGGGGGGAACCCUGAUCCAGCCAUGCCGCGUGUGUGAAGAAGGCCUUAUGGUUGUAAAGCACUUUAAGCGAGGAGGAGGCUCUUUUGGUUAAUACCCAAGAUGAGUGGACGUUACUCGCAGAAUAAGCACCGGCUAACUCUGUGCCAGCAGCCGCCGCAG
RNAcentral lists this ribosomal RNA (503 nucleotides) under uncultured bacterium. Its description in RNAcentral is "partial 16S ribosomal RNA". It matches the Rfam family "Bacterial small subunit ribosomal RNA", at positions 30 to 523 of the family's 1533-position model. The record is from RNAcentral.